AACGAACGCUGGCGGCAUGCCUAACACAUGCAAGUCGAACGAGAUCCUUCGGGGUCUAGUGGCGCACGGGUGCGUAACGCGUGGGAAUCUGCCUUUUGCUUCGGAAUAACAGUUAGAAAUGACUGCUAAUACCGGAUGAUGUCUUCGGACCAAAGAUUUAUCGGCAAGAGAUGAGCCCGCGUAGGAUUAGGUAGUUGGUGGGGUAAAGGCCUACCAAGCCGACGAUCCUUAGCUGGUCUGAGAGGAUGAUCAGCCACACUGGGACUGAGACACGGCCCAGACUCCUACGGGAGGCAGCAGUGGGGAAUAUUGGACAAUGGACGAAAGUCUGAUCCAGCAAUGCCGCGUGAGUGAUGAAGGCCUUAGGGUUGUAAAGCUCUUUUAC
This 385-nucleotide ribosomal RNA is filed under the name uncultured bacterium. Its description in RNAcentral is "bacterial SSU rRNA". It matches the Rfam family "Bacterial small subunit ribosomal RNA", at positions 29 to 439 of the family's 1533-position model. The record is from RNAcentral.